RNAcentral lists this ribosomal RNA (253 nucleotides) under uncultured bacterium. RNAcentral's name for it is "partial 16S ribosomal RNA". It matches the Rfam family "Bacterial small subunit ribosomal RNA", at positions 524 to 776 of the family's 1533-position model. The record is from RNAcentral.
UACGGAGGAUCCAAGCGUUAUCCGGAUUUAUUGGGUUUAAAGGGUGCGUAGGCGGGCUAUUAAGUCAGCGGUGAAAGUUCGUGGCUCAACCACGAAAUUGCCGUUGAAACUGGUAGCCUUGAGUGUAGAUGAGGUGGGUGGAAUUCGUAGUGUAGCGGUGAAAUGCAUAGAUAUUACGAAGAACUCCAAUUGCGUAGGCAGCUCACUAGACUACAACUGACGCUGAGGCACGAAGGUGCGGGGAUCAAACAGG